RNAcentral lists this transfer RNA (72 nucleotides) under Camelus bactrianus (Bactrian camel). It matches the Rfam family "tRNA". Rfam says of the family: Transfer RNA (tRNA) molecules are approximately 80 nucleotides in length. Their secondary structure includes four short double-helical elements and three loops (D, anti-codon, and T loops). Further hydrogen bonds mediate the characteristic L-shaped molecular structure. tRNAs have two regions of fundamental functional importance: the anti-codon, which is responsible for specific mRNA codon recognition, and the 3' end, to which the tRNAs corresponding amino acid is attached (by aminoacyl-tRNA synthetases). tRNAs cope with the degeneracy of the genetic code in two manners: having more than one tRNA (with a specific anti-codon) for a particular amino acid; and 'wobble' base-pairing, i.e. permitting non-standard base-pairing at the 3rd anti-codon position. RNAcentral also lists the same sequence under 2 other names. Lineage: Eukaryota; Metazoa; Chordata; Mammalia; Artiodactyla; Camelidae. The record is from Rfam by way of RNAcentral.
GAGGGUAUAGCUCCAUGGUAAAGCAUGUGUUUAGAAUGCAUGAGGUCCUGGGUUCAAUCCCCAGUACCUUUG